Molecule: ribosomal RNA, 301 nt
Filed under: uncultured bacterium
Lineage: Bacteria
Description: partial 16S ribosomal RNA
Rfam family: Bacterial small subunit ribosomal RNA
Source: RNAcentral
CAGUAGCCACGGGAAUACAGAGGAUGCAAGCGUUAUUCGGAAUGAUUGGGCGUAAAGGGCUCGCAGGCGGUUUCUUAAGUCUGAUGUGAAAGCCCCCGGCUCAACCGGGGAGGGUCAUUGGAAACUGGGAAACUUGAGUGCAGAAGAGGAGAGUGGAAUUCCACGUGUAGCGGUGAAAUGCGUAGAGAUGUGGAGGAACACCAGUGGCGAAGGCGACUCUCUGGUCUGUAACUGACGCUGAGGAGCGAAAGCGUGGGGAGCGAACAGGAUUAGAUACCCGUGUAGUCCCUGUCUCUUAUAC